GGAUGUGAGGGUGAUGUGGCUGUGACAUCUGUCACCCAAUGGAUCGCCAGGGUUGAUUCGGCUGAUCUGGCUGGCUAGGUGGGUGUCCCCCUCCUCCCUCACCGCUCCACGUGCAUCCCUCCCAAAGCUGCGUGCUCAGUCGAAGAGGACGAACUUCCCUGCUAGAAAAGGAUUAGUCUUCGGUCAAGGGUAUAUGAGUAGCUGCACUCCCCUGCUAGAACUUCCAAACACUCCCUCAAGGUCCAAAGCCAGGAGCCAGGAGCUUCUUCCAGGUCUCCCAUGUGUGUGCAGGGGCCCAAGGACUUGAGCCAUCUUCUGCUAU
Molecule: small nuclear RNA, 322 nt
Filed under: Oryctolagus cuniculus (rabbit)
Lineage: Eukaryota; Metazoa; Chordata; Mammalia; Lagomorpha; Leporidae
Description: 7SK RNA
Rfam family: 7SK RNA
About the family: 7SK was discovered as an abundant small nuclear RNA in the mid-70s but a possible function has only recently been suggested.
Source: Rfam by way of RNAcentral